UGCCAGCCGCCGCGGUAACACGGGGGGCGCAAGCGUUAUUCGGAAUUAUUGGCGUAAAGGGCGCGUAGGCGGCUAUUUAAGUCGGAUGUGAAAGCCCCGGGCUCAACCUGGGAACUGCACUCGAUACUGGAUAGCUAGAGUAUGGGAGAGGGUUGUGGAAUUCCACGUGUAGCGGUGAAAUGCGUAGAUAUGUGGAGGAACAUCAGUGGCGAAGGCGGCAGCCUGGCCCAAUACUGACGCUGAGGUGCGAAAGCGUGGGGAGCAAACAGGAUUAGAUA
RNAcentral lists this ribosomal RNA (278 nucleotides) under uncultured bacterium. RNAcentral describes it as "partial 16S ribosomal RNA". It matches the Rfam family "Bacterial small subunit ribosomal RNA", at positions 506 to 784 of the family's 1533-position model. The record is from RNAcentral.